This 405-nucleotide ribosomal RNA is filed under the name bacterium. RNAcentral describes it as "bacterial SSU rRNA". It matches the Rfam family "Bacterial small subunit ribosomal RNA", at positions 354 to 776 of the family's 1533-position model. RNAcentral also lists the same sequence under 1 other name. The record is from RNAcentral.
GUGGGGAAUAUUGCACAAUGGGGGAAACCCUGAUGCAGCGACGCCGCGUGGAGGAAGAAGGUCUUCGGAUUGUAAACUCCUGUUGUUGAGGAAGAUAAUGACGGUACUCAACAAGGAAGUGACGGCUAACUACGUGCCAGCAGCCGCGGUAAAACGUAGGUCACAAGCGUUGUCCGGAAUUACUGGGUGUAAAGGGAGCGCAGGCGGGAAGACAAGUUGGAAGUGAAAUCCAUGGGCUCAACCCAUGAACUGCUUUCAAAACUGUUUUUCUUGAGUAGUGCAGAGGUAGGCGGAAUUCCCGGUGUAGCGGUGGAAUGCGUAGAUAUCGGGAGGAACACCAGUGGCGAAGGCGGCCUACUGGGCACCAACUGACGCUGAGGCUCGAAAGUGUGGGUAGCAAACAGG